Molecule: non-coding RNA, 96 nt
Organism: Chelonoidis abingdonii (Abingdon island giant tortoise)
Lineage: Eukaryota; Metazoa; Chordata; Testudines; Testudinidae
Source: RefSeq, a predicted model, not a curated record
GACUGUGUGUUUCUGCAAUAUCAGCCCUAUGCUUACCAAAUUCUGUGAGCAGGGCCUGCCUCUUGCUAACAACCUGACUUUGCUUUAUAUUAGCAA